This 22-nucleotide unclassified non-coding RNA is filed under the name Mus musculus (house mouse). Its description in RNAcentral is "oocyte_clustered_small_RNA8542". Lineage: Eukaryota; Metazoa; Chordata; Mammalia; Rodentia; Muridae. The record is from RNAcentral.
AUUCCUGCAACAAACAUCAUGA